UGGGGAAUUUUGGACAAUGGGCGCAAGCCUGAUCCAGCCAUGCCGCGUGCGGGAAGAAGGCCUUCGGGUUGUAAACCGCUUUUGUCAGGGAAGAAAUCUUCUGAGUUAAUACCUCGGGAGGAUGACGGUACCUGAAGAAUAAGCACCGGCUAACUACGUGCCAGCAGCCGCGGUAAUACGUAGGGUGCAAGCGUUAAUCGGAAUUACUGGGCGUAAAGCGUGCGCAGGCGGUUUUGUAAGACAGAGGUGAAAUCCCCGGGCUCAACCUGGGAACUGCCUUUGUGACUGCAAGGCUUGAGUGCGGCAGAGGGGGAUGGAAUUCCGCGUGUAGCAGUGAAAUGCGUAGAUAUGCGGAGGAACACCGAUGGCGAAGGCAAUCCCCUGGGCCUGCACUGACGCUCAUGCACGAAAGCGUGGGGAGCAAACAGGAUUAGAUACCCUGGUAGUCCACGCCCUAAACGAUGUCAACUGGUUGUUGGGAGGGUUCCUUCUCAGUAACGUAGCUAACGCGUGAAGUUGACCGCCUGGGGAGU
RNAcentral lists this ribosomal RNA (533 nucleotides) under uncultured bacterium. RNAcentral describes it as "partial 16S ribosomal RNA". It matches the Rfam family "Bacterial small subunit ribosomal RNA", at positions 355 to 881 of the family's 1533-position model. The record is from RNAcentral.